This 85-nucleotide transfer RNA is filed under the name Crocuta crocuta (spotted hyena). It matches the Rfam family "tRNA". From Rfam's summary of the family: Transfer RNA (tRNA) molecules are approximately 80 nucleotides in length. Their secondary structure includes four short double-helical elements and three loops (D, anti-codon, and T loops). The record is from Rfam by way of RNAcentral. Lineage: Eukaryota; Metazoa; Chordata; Mammalia; Carnivora; Hyaenidae. RNAcentral also lists the same sequence under 1 other name.
GCCUGGGUGGCUCAGUUGGUUAAGCAUCCGACUUCGGCUCAGGUCAUGAUCUCACGGUUCGUGGGUUCGAGCCCCACGUCGGGCU